This 497-nucleotide ribosomal RNA is filed under the name uncultured bacterium. RNAcentral's name for it is "partial 16S ribosomal RNA". It matches the Rfam family "Bacterial small subunit ribosomal RNA", at positions 28 to 507 of the family's 1533-position model. The record is from RNAcentral.
GAUGAACGCUGGCGGCGUGCCUAAUACAUGCAAGUCGAGCGAACAGACGAGGAGCUUGCUCCUCUGACGUUAGCGGCGGACGGGUGAGUAACACGUGGAUAACCUACCUAUAAGACUGGGAUAACUUCGGGAAGCCGGAGCUAAUACCGGAUAAUAUAUUGAACCGCAUGGUUCAAUAGUGAAAGACGGUUUUGCUGUCACUUAUAGAUGGAUCCGCGCCGCAUUAGCUAGUUGGUAAGGUAACGGCUUACCAAGGCGACGAUGCGUAGCCGACCUGAGAGGGUGAUCGGCCACACUGGAACUGAGACACGGUCCAGACUCCUACGGGAGGCAGCAGUAGGGAAUCUUCCGCAAAGGGCGAAAGCCUGACGGAGCAACGCCGCGUGAGUGAUGAAGGUCUUCGGAUCGUAAAACUCUGUUAUUAGGGAAGAACAAAUGUGUAAGUAACUAUGCACGUCUUGACGGUACCUAAUCAGAAAGCCACGGCUAACUACGUG